GACGAACGCUGGCGGCGUGCCUAAUACAUGCAAGUUGAGCGCUGAAGGUUGGUACUUGUACCAACUGGAUGAGCAGCGAACGGGUGAGUAACGCGUGGGGAAUCUGCUUUUGAGCGGGGGACAACAUUUGGAAACGAAUGCUAAUACCGCAUAAAAACUUUAAACACAAGUUUUAAGUUUGAAAGAUGCAAUUGCAUCAUUCAAAGAUGAUCUCGCGUUGUUUUAGCUAGUUGGUGAGGUAAAGGCGCACCAAGGCGGUGAUACAUAGCCGACCUGAGAGGGUGGUCGGCCACAUUGGGACUGAGACACGGCCCAAUGUCCUACGGGAGGCAGCAGUAGGGAAUCGUCAGCAAUGGGCGAAAGUCUGACCGAGCAGCGCCGCGUGAGUGAAGAAGGUUGUCGGGUCGUAAAACUCUGUUGGUAGGGAAGAACGUUGGUGAGAGUGGAAAGCUCAUCAAGUGACGGUAACUACCCAGAAAGGGACGGCUAACUACGUG
RNAcentral lists this ribosomal RNA (497 nucleotides) under uncultured bacterium. RNAcentral describes it as "partial 16S ribosomal RNA". It matches the Rfam family "Bacterial small subunit ribosomal RNA", at positions 28 to 507 of the family's 1533-position model. The record is from RNAcentral.